AGCAAGAUGAUGGAAACUUUAUUAUCUGAAAUUGAUGUGGAACUUAUAUCAUUCAUUCUGGUCUUCAAAGUUCUCUGAUUGCU
Cucumis sativus (cucumber) is the source of this 83-nucleotide non-coding RNA. The record is from Rfam. Lineage: Eukaryota; Viridiplantae; Streptophyta; Magnoliopsida; Cucurbitales; Cucurbitaceae.